Picea glauca (white spruce) is the source of this 124-nucleotide non-coding RNA. The record is from Rfam. NCBI's taxonomy places the organism in Eukaryota, Viridiplantae, Streptophyta, Pinopsida, Pinales, Pinaceae.
UCUUAUGUACAUGCCUACAAUGUUAAUGCAUUGAAUCCCAUUAGAACUCUGCACUUAAGUGUGCUUGGGCUAGAGUAGUAUUGGGAUGGGUGACCGCCCUGGAAGUCCUAGUGUUUUACAUGCC